This 625-nucleotide ribosomal RNA is filed under the name Trichosporon sp. 'multisporum'. RNAcentral's name for it is "eukaryotic LSU rRNA". It matches the Rfam family "Eukaryotic large subunit ribosomal RNA", at positions 47 to 663 of the family's 3401-position model. The record is from RNAcentral. Lineage: Eukaryota; Fungi; Basidiomycota; Tremellomycetes; Trichosporonales; Trichosporonaceae.
UAAGCGGAGGAAAAGAAACUAACAAGGAUUCCCUUAGUAACGGCGAGUGAACCGGGAAGAGCUCAAAUUUGAAAUCUGGCUGUCUUCGAUAGUCCGAGUUGUAAUCUAUAGAAGCGUUUUCCGUGCUGAACUGUGUCUAAGUCCUCUGGAACGAGGUAUCAAAGAGGGUGACAAUCCCGUACUUGACACAAUCAUCAGUGCUCUGUGAUACGUUCUCUACGAGUCGAGUUGUUUGGGAAUGCAGCUCAAAAUGGGUGGUAAAUUCCAUCUAAAGCUAAAUAUUGGCGAGAGACCGAUAGCGAACAAGUACCGUGAGGGAAAGAUGAAAAGCACUUUGGAAAGAGAGUUAAACAGUACGUGAAAUUGUUAAAAGGGAAACGAUUGAAGUCAGUCGUGUUUAUUGGAUUCAGCCGGUCUUCGGUGUACUUCCUUUAAACGGGUCAACAUCAGUUUUGUUCGGUGGAUAAAGGCAGUAGGAAUGUGGCUCCCUCGGGAGUGUUAUAGCCUAUUGUCACAUACACUGGAGGAGACUGAGGACUGCAGCUCGCCUUUUUGGCCGGGGUUCGCCCACGUUCGAGCUUAGGAUGUUGACAUAAUGGCUUUAAACGACCCGUCUUGAAACACG